RNAcentral lists this ribosomal RNA (484 nucleotides) under uncultured bacterium. Its description in RNAcentral is "partial 16S ribosomal RNA". It matches the Rfam family "Bacterial small subunit ribosomal RNA", at positions 29 to 507 of the family's 1533-position model. The record is from RNAcentral.
AUUGAACGCUGGCGGCAUGCUUUACACAUGCAAGUCGAACGGCAGCGCGGGCUUCGGCCUGGCGGCGAGUGGCGAACGGGUGAGUAAUGCAUCGGAACGUGCCCAGCAGUGGGGGAUAGCCCGGCGAAAGCCGGAUUAAUACCGCAUACGACCUGAGGGUGAAAGCGGGGGACCGAAAGGCCUCGCGCUAUUGGAGCGGCCGAUGUCGGAUUAGCUAGUUGGUUGGGUAAAGGCUUACCAAGGCGACGAUCCGUAGCUGGUCUGAGAGGAGGACCAGCCACACUGGGACUGAGACGCGGACCUGACUCCUAAGGGAGGCAGCAGUGGGGAAUGUUGGACAAAGGGGGCAACCCUGAUCCAGCCAUGCCGCGUGCGGGAAGAAGACCUUCGGGUUGUAAACCGCUUUUGUUCGGGAAGAAAUGCUCUGGGCUAAUACCCCGGGGGGAUGACGGUACCGGAAGAAUAAGCACCGGCUAACUACGUG